Molecule: long non-coding RNA, 856 nt
Filed under: Homo sapiens (human)
Lineage: Eukaryota; Metazoa; Chordata; Mammalia; Primates; Hominidae
Description: non-protein coding ZMIZ1-AS1:10
Source: RNAcentral
GGGGCGGGCACCCGGAGGCGGCCCAGGCGGGGGUCUCCCCCGGGGCCUGGGGCGGGCCGAAGAUGUCCAGGCCUGGCCGGAGCCGCCUCCUGAUUGACGAGGCCCGCAUGGGAGUGCGGACGUGCAGCACAGAUUUGCGGGUCUCCUGGGCCUCUUGGGCGGUGAUCAGCGCGGACCUUGGGCCAACCGGGGAAGCAGGCCGGAGCACUACCCCCCACCCCCAUUUUAGAACAUCCUUCUGAGGGCUUCGCUGACCUCGGCUUGAACUCCUUCAGAGCCGGAGAGAUCACUCCUUCCACCACCGAGGGAGAGGAGGCAAAAUGAAUUUGCCAGCUUUGAAUUCAUUCUCAAGGCUCCGCUAGUCUCACAGCCAGUGAACUCAGUCUGGAAUUCCUGAAAGCUCAGAAAACUGCUGCUUAGGUGGCAGCUGAGCAUCCCUGGAGAGGGUGGGUGGUAUGAAAGCACUUCCAGACCUCUAGGGACACCAGGGAGUCAUGGUCCCAGCACAUUGCUGUGUGAUUGAGCCCCUCCUCAGCCUGUGGGUGGCCUAAGUUCACAGGGAGGUAAUGGGGUAGAUUGGAUACCUCUGGGGUCUUGGAAGAAGCUAUGACUUAUUUACUGUCUACUAUGUGCUAUUUGUGUACACGGCUUAUCUCCCUGCCAGACUGAGAGGCAACGUGGGCCUGUUGAAAGAGCGUGGACUUUGGAGCCGCAUGACCUGGCCCUCAAUCCCAACCCUGCGACUCAGAGCUGUGAGCCCUCGGGGAGCUCACAACACCUUUGGGAGCCUCAGUUUCCUUAUCUGUAAAGUGGGGAUGGUGAUAACUACUUCCAAUGUGGUUUUGAGCAACUGGUA